Molecule: long non-coding RNA, 1596 nt
Filed under: Oncorhynchus kisutch (coho salmon)
Lineage: Eukaryota; Metazoa; Chordata; Actinopteri; Salmoniformes; Salmonidae
Description: lncRNA (ENSOKIG00005011116.1)
Source: RNAcentral
UUUUAUUUUUGUUGUUGUUGUGUGAUUUGGAUUGAUCCCCUCUACCACACGGAACCCCACUAAUCUACUGACGGAGCGCAGGAGGUGGCUAACAACAGACCUCCAUCCUAUGCUAGCUUGCUACCGAUGCCCUGUCUAGCUGUCUAAAUCACCAACCAACCUCUCCACUCACCGGACCCUUUUGAUCACUCGACUAAGCAUGCCUCUCCUUAAUGUCAAUAUGUCUUGUCCAUUUCUGUUCUGGUUAGUGUUUAUUGGCUUAUUUCACUGUAGAGCCUCUAGUCCUGCUCACUAUACCUUAUCCAACCUAUUAGUUCCACCACCCACACAUGCAAUGACAUCUCCUGGUUUCAACGAUGUUUCUAGAGACAAUAUCUCUCUCUUCAUCACUCAAUACCUAGGUUUACCUCCACUGUAUUCACAUCCUACCAUACAUUUGUCUGUACAUUAUACCUUGAUGCUAUUUUAUCGCCCCCAGAAACCUCCUUUUACUCUAUGUUCCAGACGUUCUAGACGACCAAUUCUCAUAGCUUUUAGCCGUACCCUUAUUCUACUCCUCCUAUGUUCCUCUGGCGAUGUAGAGGUGAAUCCAGGCCCUGCAGUGCCUAGCUCCACUCCUAUUCCCCAGGCGCUCUCUUUUGACGACUUCUGUAACCGUAAUAGCCUUGGUUUCAUGCAUGUUAACAUUAGAAGCCUCCUCCCUAAGUUUGUUCUAUUCACUGCUUUAGCACACUCUGCCAACCCGGAUGUUCUAGCUGUGUCUGAAUCCUGGCUUAGGAAGACCAGCAAAAACUCAGACAUUUUAAUUCCAAACUACAACAUUUUCAGACAAGAUAGAACUGCCAAAGGGGGCGGUGUUGCAAUCUACUGCAAAGAUAGCCUGCAGAGUUCUGUCCUACUAUCCAGGUCUGUACCCAAACAAUUUGAACUUCUACUUUUAAAAAUCCACCUCUCUAAAAACAAGUCUCUCACCGUUGCCGCCUGCUAUAGACCACCCUCUGCCCCCAGCUGUGCUCUGGACACCAUAUGUGAACUGAUUGCCCCCCAUCUAUCUUCAGAGUUCGUGCUGCUAGGCGACCUAAACUGGAACAUGCUUAACACCCCAGCCAUCCUACAAUCUAAACUUGAUGCCCUCAAUCUCACACAAAUAAUCAAUGAACCUACCAGGUACCUCCCCAAAACCUUAAACACGGGCACCCUCAUAGAUAUCAUCCUAACCAACUUCCCCUCUAAAUACACCUCUGCUGUCUUCAACCAAGAUCUCAGCGAUCACUGCCUCAUUGCCUGCAUCCGUAAUGGGUCAGCGGUCAAACGACCUCCACUCAUCACUGUAAAACGCUCCCUGAAACACUUCUGCGAGCAGGCCUUUCUAAUCGACCUGGCCGGGGUAUCCUGGAAGGAUAUUGAUCUCAUCCCGUCAGUAGAGGAUGCCUGGAUAUUUUUUAAAAAUGCCUUCCUAACCAUCUUAAAUAAACAUGCCCCAUUUAAGAAAUUUAGAACCAGGAACAGAUAUAGCCCUUGGUUCUCCCCAGACCUGACUGCCCUUAACCAACACAAAAACAUCCUAUGGCGUUCUGCAUUAGCAUCGAACAGCCC